AUGAACGCUAGCUACAGGCUUAACCCAUGCAAGUCGCAGGGUAACAUGAGGAAAGCUUGCUUUCCUUGAUGACGACUGGCGCACGGGUGAGUAACGCGUAUCCAACCUUCCCAUAACUACGGGAUAACCCGUUGAAAGACGGCCUAAUACCGUAUGAUAUCGUUUGCUGACAUCAAAUAACGAUUAAAGGUUUAGCGGUUAUGGAUGGGGAUGCGUCUGAUUAGCUUGUUGGCGGGGUAACGGCCCACCAAGGCGACGAUCAGUAGGGGUUCUGAGAGGAAGGUCCCCCACAUUGGAACUGAGACACGGUCCAAACUCCUACGGGAGGCAGCAGUGAGGAAUAUUGGUCAAUGGGCGAGAGCCUGAACCAGCCAAGUAGCGUGCAGGACGACGGCCCUAUGGGUUGUAAACUGCUUUUAUGUGGGGAUAAAGUGCGUGACGUGUCAUGCAUUGCAGGUACCACAUGAAUAAGGACCGGCUAAUUCCGUG
RNAcentral lists this ribosomal RNA (489 nucleotides) under uncultured bacterium. RNAcentral's name for it is "partial 16S ribosomal RNA". It matches the Rfam family "Bacterial small subunit ribosomal RNA", at positions 29 to 507 of the family's 1533-position model. The record is from RNAcentral.